CCUACGGGCGGCAGCAGUGAGGAAUAUUGGUCAAUGGUCGGGAGACUGAACCAGCCAAGCCGCGUGAGGGAUGAAGGUACAGAGUAUCGUAAACCUCUUUUGUCAGGGAACAAAGGCGGGGACGUGUCCCCGGAUGAGUGCACCUGAAGAAAAAGCAUCGGCUAACUCCGUGCCAGCAGCCGCGGUAAUACGGAGGAUGCGAGCGUUAUCCGGAUUUAUUGGGUUUAAAGGGUGCGCAGGCGGUCUGUUAAGUCAGCGGUAAAAGCCCGGGGCUCAACCCCGGCCCGCCGUUGAAACUGGCAGUCUCGAGCUGGAGAGAAGUAUGCGGAAUGCGCGGUGUAGCGGUGAAAUGCAUAGAUAUCGCGCAGAACUCCGAUUGCGAAGGCAGCAUGCCGGCUCCACACUGACGCUGAGGCACGAAAGCGUGGGUAUCGAACAGGAUUAGAUACCCCUGUAGUC
Molecule: ribosomal RNA, 459 nt
Filed under: uncultured bacterium
Lineage: Bacteria
Description: partial 16S ribosomal RNA
Rfam family: Bacterial small subunit ribosomal RNA
Source: RNAcentral